This 1037-nucleotide ribosomal RNA is filed under the name Acremonium sp. G248. RNAcentral describes it as "eukaryotic LSU rRNA". The stretch from base 493 to 1037 matches the Rfam family "Eukaryotic large subunit ribosomal RNA", at positions 1 to 559 of the family's 3401-position model. The record is from RNAcentral. Lineage: Eukaryota; Fungi; Ascomycota; Sordariomycetes; Hypocreales; Bionectriaceae.
AUCAUUACCGAGUGUAAAAACUCCCAAACCAUUGUGAACCUACCACUGUGUUCGGCGGCCUCGCCCCGGGCGCGUUCGCGCGGCCCGGACCCAGGCGUCCGCCGGAGGCUCCAAACUCUUGUCUUUUAGUGUAUUUCUGAGUGGCAUAAGCAAAUAAAUCAAAACUUUCAGCAACGGAUCUCUUGGUUCUGGCAUCGAUGAAGAACGCAGCAAAAUGCGAUAAGUAAUGUGAAUUGCAGAAUUCAGUGAAUCAUCGAAUCUUUGAACGCACAUUGCGCCCGCCAGUAUUCUGGCGGGCAUGCCUGUCUGAGCGUCAUUUCAACCCUCAGGACCCGUUCGCGGGACCUGGCGUUGGGGAUCAGCCUGCCCCUGGCGGCGGCUGGCCCUGAAAUCCAGUGGCGGUUCCCUCGCGAACUCCUCCGUGCAGUAAUUAAACCUCUCGCGGCAGGAUAGCGGUUGAACCACGCCGUUAAACCCCCCACUUCUCAAGGUUGACCUCAGAUCAGGUAGGAUACCCGCUGAACUUAAGCAUAUCAAUAAGCGGAGGAAAAGAAACCAACACGGGAUGCCCUAGUAACGGCGAGUGAAGCGGCAACAGCUCAAAUUUGAAAUCUGGCCUACGGUCCGAAUUGUAAUUUGUAGAGGAUGUUUCUGGCGACGUGUCUUCCGAGUUCCCUGGAACGGGACGCCAUAGAGGGUGAGAGCCCCGUCCGGUCGUACACCUAGCCUCUGUGAAACUCCUUCGACGAGUCGAGUAGUUUGGGAAUGCUGCUCUAAAUGGGAGGUAUACGUCUUCUAAAGCUAAAUACCGGCCAGAGACCGAUAGCGCACAAGUAGAGUGAUCGAAAGAUGAAAAGCACUUUGAAAAGAGGGUUAAAUAGUACGUGAAAUUGCUGAAAGGGAAGCGCUUAUGACCAGACUUGGGCUCGGUGAAUCAUCCGGCGUUCUCGCCGGUGCACUUUGCCGUCCCAGGCCAGCAUCAGUUCGCGCCGGGGGAUAAAGGUUUCGGGAAUGUAGCUCCCUCGGGAGUGUUAUAG